GAUGAACGCUGGCGGCGUGCCUAAUACAUGCAAGUCGAGCGAACAGACGAGGAGCUUGCUCCUCUGACGUUAGCGGCGGACGGGUGAGUAACACGUGGAUAACCUACCUAUAAGACUGGGAUAACUUCGGGAAGCCGGAGCUAAUACCGGAUAAUAUAUUGAACCGCAUGGUUCAAUAGUGAAAGACGGUUUUGCUGUCACUUAUAGAUGGAUCCGCGCCGCAUUAGCUAGUUGGUAAGGUAACGGCUUACCAAGGCAACGAUGCGUAGCCGACCUGAGCGGGGGAUCGGCCACACUGGAACUGAGACACGGUCCAGACUCCUACGGGAGGCAGCAGUAGGGAAUCUUGCGCAAUGGGCGAAAGCCUGACGGAGCAACGCCGCGUGAGUGAUGAAGGUCUUCGGAUCGUAAAACUCUGUUAUUAGGGAAGAACAAAUGUGUAAGUAACUAUGCACGUCUUGACGGUACCUAAUCAGAAAGCCACGGCUAACUACGUG
Molecule: ribosomal RNA, 497 nt
Filed under: uncultured bacterium
Lineage: Bacteria
Description: partial 16S ribosomal RNA
Rfam family: Bacterial small subunit ribosomal RNA
Source: RNAcentral